AACGAACGCUGGCGGCAGGCCUAACACAUGCAAGUCGAACGCUCCGCAAGGGGGAGUGGCGCACGGGUGAGUAACACGUGGGAACCUACCUUCUGGUACGGAACAACCAAGGGAAACUUUGGCUAAGACCGUAUACGACCUCCGGGUGAAAGAUUGAUCGCCGGAAGAGGGGCCCGCGUCCGAUUAGGGUAGUUGGUGAGGUAACGGCUCACCAAGCCUUCGAUCGGUAGCUGGUCUGAGAGGAUGACCAGCCACACUGGGACUGAGACACGGCCCAGACUCCUACGGGAGGCAGCAGUGGGGAAUAUUGGACAAUGGGCGCAAGCCUG
This 329-nucleotide ribosomal RNA is filed under the name uncultured bacterium. RNAcentral's name for it is "bacterial SSU rRNA". It matches the Rfam family "Bacterial small subunit ribosomal RNA", at positions 29 to 385 of the family's 1533-position model. The record is from RNAcentral.